This is a long non-coding RNA of Oncorhynchus keta (chum salmon), 463 nucleotides long. RefSeq lists it as uncharacterized. NCBI's taxonomy places the organism in Eukaryota, Metazoa, Chordata, Actinopteri, Salmoniformes, Salmonidae. The record is from RefSeq and is a predicted model, not a curated record. The transcript has 3 exons.
GGGAGUGGGAACAUUAUUUUAAGAUGAAAUGAGAGCAAAGACAGUGUCCAAAUUAGCACCCUAUUCCCUACAUAGGGCUCUGGUCCAAAGUAGUGCACUAUCGGGUGACAUUUGGGAUGCAGAAUAUUGUAAGCUACCAUGUCCUGGUUCGCGGUGAUGUUCCCAUGGAGAGACAGGCAUUCUGAGAGUGUCUUCUUCCUGGUUGGGGUUAGGUCUGGUCCUAUCAGGUAGAGACAGAACUAGGGUCUCUUCCUGAUUGUGGUUAGGUCUGGUCCUAUCAGGUAGAGACAGAGCUAGGGUCUCUUCCUGGUUGUGGUUAGGUCUGGUCCUAUCAGGUAGAGACAGAGCUAGGGUCUCUUCCUGGUCGGGGUUAGGUCUGGUCCUAUCAGGUAGAGACAGAGCUAGGGUCUCUUCCUGGUCGGGGUUAGGUCUGGUCCUAUCAGGUAGAGACAGAUCUAGGGUC